CGAAAAAGUUCAAUGAUUUUCUGCGCACUCUAUGUAUAUUCUGCCAGGAGAAAGCCCUCAGCAGUUUCUGUGAAUUUCUUGCAUCCAAAGAGCUCACCUUGAUUUCAAAGACAGAAGCUAUAGACAGUGAAGUUAGGGAUGAUGAAGCUAGGAAUUUUCUGGUCAAAUCAGAGCCAAAGAUGGAAUGAGUGCUU
This is a non-coding RNA of Prunus avium (sweet cherry), 194 nucleotides long. Lineage: Eukaryota; Viridiplantae; Streptophyta; Magnoliopsida; Rosales; Rosaceae. The record is from RefSeq and is a predicted model, not a curated record.